AUUGAACGCUGGCGGCAGGCCUAACACAUGCAAGUCGAGCGGAUGCAGGGAGCUUGCUCCUGGAUUCAGCGGCGGACGGGUGAGUAAUGCCUAGGAAUCUGCCUGGCUGUGGGGGAUAACGUCCGGAAACGGGCGCUAAUACCGCAUACGUCCUGAGGGAGAAAGUGGGGGAUCUUCGGACCUCACGCUAUCAGAUGAGCCUAGGUCGGAUUAGCUAGUUGGUGGGGUAAAGGCCUACCAAGGCGACGAUCCGUAACUGGUCUGAGAGGAUGAUCAGUCACACUGGAACUGAGACACGGUCCAGACUCCUACGGGAGGCAGCAGUGGGGAAUAUUGGACAAUGGGCGAAAGCCUGAUCCAGCCAUGCCGCGUGUGUGAAGAAGGUCUUCGGAUUGUAAAGCACUUUAAGUUGGGAGGAAGGGCAGUAAGUUAAUACCUUGCUGUUUUGACGGUACCAACAGAAUAAGCACCGGCUAACUUCGUG
RNAcentral lists this ribosomal RNA (484 nucleotides) under uncultured bacterium. RNAcentral describes it as "partial 16S ribosomal RNA". It matches the Rfam family "Bacterial small subunit ribosomal RNA", at positions 30 to 507 of the family's 1533-position model. The record is from RNAcentral.